AGUGAACGCUGGCGGUAGGCCUAACACAUGCAAGUCGAACGGCAGCACAGUAAGAGCUUGCUCUUACGGGUGGCGAGUGGCGGACGGGUGAGGAAUACAUCGGAAUCUACUUUUUCGUGGGGGAUAACGUAGGGAAACUUACGCUAAUACCGCAUACGACCUACGGGUGAAAGCAGGGGAUCUUCGGACCUUGCGCGAAUGAAUGAGCCGAUGUCGGAUUAGCUAGUUGGCGGGGUAAAGGCCCACCAAGGCGACGAUCCGUAGCUGGUCUGAGAGGAUGAUCGGCCACACUGGAACUGAGACACGGUCCAGACUCCUACGGGAGGCAGCAGUGGGGAAUAUUGGACAAUGGGCGCAAGCCUGAUCCAGCCAUCCCGCGUGGGUGAAGAAGGCCUUCGGGUUGUAAAGCCCUUUUGUUGGGAAAGAAAAGCAGCAGGUUAAUACCCCGCUGUUCUGACGGUACCCAAAGAAUAAGCACCGGCUAACUUCGUG
This 492-nucleotide ribosomal RNA is filed under the name uncultured bacterium. RNAcentral describes it as "partial 16S ribosomal RNA". It matches the Rfam family "Bacterial small subunit ribosomal RNA", at positions 29 to 507 of the family's 1533-position model. The record is from RNAcentral.